AGUAGUGGAGUGGCGAACGGGUGAGUAACACGUAGGAAUCUACCCUUAAGACGGGGACAACCCAGGGAAACUUGGGCUAAUACCGGAUGAGAGUGCGAGAGAUUGCAUUUAAAAGGAUGGCGAAAGUUGUCGCUUAGGGAUGAGCCUGCGGUCUAUUAGUUAGUUGGUGAGGUAAGAGCUCACCAAGGCGAUGAUAGAUAGGCGGCCUUAACGGGUGGUCGCCCACACUGGGAUUGAGAUACGGCCCAGACUCCUACGGGAGGCAGCAGUCGAGAAUAGUCUACAAUGGCCGGAAGGCUGAUAGUGCGACGCCGCGUGAACGAGGGAGCCCUUCGGGGUGUAAAGUUCUUUUCUAUACGAGCAGUGCUAUAUAUAUGGAUAGUAUAUAUAGAGGGAUAGUAGUAUAGGAAUAAGCAACGGCUAACUCCGUG
Molecule: ribosomal RNA, 431 nt
Filed under: uncultured bacterium
Lineage: Bacteria
Description: bacterial SSU rRNA
Rfam family: Bacterial small subunit ribosomal RNA
Source: RNAcentral